AUUGAACGCUGGCGGCAGGCCUAACACAUGCAAGUCGAACGAGUGGCGGACGGGUGAGUAAUGUCUGGGAAACUGCCUGAUGGAGGGGGAUAACUACUGGAAACGGUAGCUAAUACCGCAUACCAUCGGAUGUGCCCAGAUGGGAUUAGCUAGUAGGUGGGGUAAAGGCUCACCUAGGCGACGAUCCCUAGCUGGUCUGAGAGGAUGACCGGCCACACUGGAACUGGAACACGGUCCAGACUCCUAGGGGAGGCGGCAGUGGGGAAUAUUCGACAAUGAGCGCAAUCCUGAUGCAGCCAUGCCGCUUAUAUACAGAAGUCCUUCGGGUUGUAAGGUACGUUCAGCGGGGCGACGUUACCCGCAGAGGAAGCACCGGCUAACUCCGUGCCAGCAGCCGCGGUAAUUC
This 406-nucleotide ribosomal RNA is filed under the name uncultured bacterium. Its description in RNAcentral is "partial 16S ribosomal RNA". It matches the Rfam family "Bacterial small subunit ribosomal RNA", at positions 30 to 526 of the family's 1533-position model. The record is from RNAcentral.